This 207-nucleotide ribosomal RNA is filed under the name uncultured bacterium. Its description in RNAcentral is "partial 16S ribosomal RNA". It matches the Rfam family "Bacterial small subunit ribosomal RNA", at positions 568 to 774 of the family's 1533-position model. The record is from RNAcentral.
UCCGCAGGCGGUUUUUUAAGUCGGUUAUUAAAUCUUGGAGCCCAACUUCAAGGCCGUGACCGAAACUGAAAAGCUAGAGACUUUCAGGGGUGUGCAGAAUUCUGUGUGUAGGGGUAAAAUCCGUAGAUACACAGAGGAAUACCAAAAGCGAAGGCAGCACACUGGGAAAGUUCUGACGCUCAUGGACGAAAGCGUAGGUAGCGAACG